AAAAAAAAAAAAAAAAAAAUCAGUGUCAAAUAACAUUAAAAUUCACAUCCUAACAACAGAAACCGUAUUUCAAAACAAGAUCUAUGUUACUGUGUGUAUUUUAUUCUCUAUCACUGUCAACUCCACUAAAGGAAAUGAAAUAAGAUAAAAAAAAAAUAAAAGACUUUCCCAAAUCUCCAAUCCCUGAGAAACUGAAAUCAGAGUAGUCAAACAUAAUCUUCUGAACAUUGCUCAACAUAAUAAUAAAAAUUAAAAAAAACUAAAGAAACAAAAUAUCAUGUUAGGAACAUAGAACUCGUCAAGAAUUUGUUUGAAAUAUAUUAAAGAGUUUAAAAGAAGCCGACCCCAAAUUUUUUGGAUA
Molecule: unclassified non-coding RNA, 361 nt
Filed under: Hevea brasiliensis (rubber tree)
Lineage: Eukaryota; Viridiplantae; Streptophyta; Magnoliopsida; Malpighiales; Euphorbiaceae
Source: RNAcentral